AUUGAACGCUGGCGGAACGCUUUACACAUGCAAGUCGAACGGUAACGCGGAGAGAAGCUUGCUUCUCUCCGGCGACGAGUGGCGAACGGGUGAGUAAUACAUCGGAACGUGUCCGCUCGUGGGGGACAACCAGCCGAAAGGUUGGCUAAUACCGCAUGAGUUCUACGGAAGAAAGAGGGGGACCCGCAAGGGCCUCUCGCGAGCGGAGCGGCCGAUGACUGAUUAGCCGGUUGGUGAGGUAACGGCUCACCAAAGCAACGAUCAGUAGCUGGUCUGAGAGGACGACCAGCCACACUGGGACUGAGACACGGCCCAGACUCCUACGGAGGCAGCAGUGGGGAAUUUUGGACAAUGGGCGCAAGCCUGAUCCAGCUAUUCCGCGUGUGGGAUGAAGGCCUCGGGUGUAACCACUUUGUAGAGAACGAAAGACACCUUUAAAAAAGGUAGUUGACUGACGGUACUCUAAGAAUAAGCACCGGCUAACUACGUGCCAGCAG
This 497-nucleotide ribosomal RNA is filed under the name uncultured bacterium. RNAcentral's name for it is "bacterial SSU rRNA". It matches the Rfam family "Bacterial small subunit ribosomal RNA", at positions 30 to 514 of the family's 1533-position model. The record is from RNAcentral.